Molecule: long non-coding RNA, 711 nt
Organism: Ictalurus punctatus (channel catfish)
Lineage: Eukaryota; Metazoa; Chordata; Actinopteri; Siluriformes; Ictaluridae
Source: Ensembl
CCCGAAAGGCUUGCUGGUUGCGUCUUGAUAACGUUCCAUAAAAAAAUUUGUGUUGCCGGGAUACAUUUGUCUUCCUAGAACACUGACUUGAUUAGCAUCUCAGGGAUUUUGAAACAACAUUAGAUAAUUUGUGUUUAAGAUGAUGGUCCUACUGGCUUUCCCUUGGCAAAAUUAAUUCUGUACAAUAUAAAUAGCGCUAAGAUUUCUAUGAUGUACAUAUUGGGUAAAGACCUUCUCCACCUCGUUGCUCCCGCUGGCCUCUUUCAUCAGAUCAUCGAGGAUUAACAAAUUAACCUAUUGGCCGGAAACAGAGCAUCAUCAUUCAGAGUCUGUGUUGGCUUCUGGGGAUUAUGACGCCCACAAUAAUAUAGUAUCCUACAUAAAUUUGGCUGGGACGUUUGCUGUUAACAAGGACCAACAAACAGCCAGGAAGAUUGCCUUGGACACUGCACUGGUACUGGCUUUUUCACAGCUGGUCUGCAUUUGAGAGAACAGUUGCUAAGUGCUUGAAAACUCAACAGCCUCAAAAAAGGUUUGAAAACCCUGGGGGGUUCUGGAGGCAAUGUCGGAAAAUCCAGCUACUCUUGCAAAGGUCAUAUGUCACCCUCAGCACUACACCUACAGCAACUUCUCUGCUCUGACGGAGCCUGAAUUGAAUCUGUCGGUCUCUUCCAAAAGGAACACGGAGAACCCUCUUUAUUGAAAUUCAAG